Molecule: microRNA precursor, 96 nt
Organism: Nicotiana attenuata
Lineage: Eukaryota; Viridiplantae; Streptophyta; Magnoliopsida; Solanales; Solanaceae
Rfam family: MIR6152 microRNA precursor family
Source: Rfam
UAGACAGAUUAUUGUAUUCGACUGUAUUCACAGCGUGAAAUAGGGGAAUACACUGUUUUUAAAACGAAAGUGAAACAAUUAACAUAAUAGACUCCU